GGCGAACGGGUGAGUAACACGUGAGUAACCUGCCCCUGACUCUGGGAUAAGCGUUGGAAACGACGUCUAAUACUGGAUAUGACUGCCGGCCGCAUGGUCUGGUGGUGGAAAGAUUUUUUGGUUGGGGAUGGACUCGCGGCCUAUCAGCUUGUUGGUGAGGUAAUGGCUCACCAAGGCGACGACGGGUAGCCGGCCUGAGAGGGUGACCGGCCACACUGGGACUGAGACACGGCCCAGACUCCUACGGGAGGCAGCAGUGGGGAAUAUUGCACAAUGGGCGAAAGCCUGAUGCAGCAACGCCGCGUGAGGGAUGACGGCCUUCGGGUUGUAAACCUCUUUUAGUAGGGAAGAAGCGAAAGUGACGGUACCUGCAGAAAAAGCACCGGCUAACUACGUGCCAGCAGCCGCGGUAAUACGUAGGGUGCAAGCGUUGUCCGGAAUUAUUGGGCGUAAAGAGCUCGUAGGCGGUUUGUCGCGUCUGCUGUGAAAUCCCGAGGCUCAACCUCGGGCUUGCAGUGGGUACGGGCAGACUAGAGUGCGGUAGGGGAGAUUGGAAUUCCUGGUGUAGCGGUGGAAUGCGCAGAUAUCAGGAGGAACACCGAUGGCGAAGGCAGAUCUC
Molecule: ribosomal RNA, 619 nt
Filed under: Curtobacterium sp. I12A-00125
Lineage: Bacteria; Bacillati; Actinomycetota; Actinomycetes; Micrococcales; Microbacteriaceae
Description: bacterial SSU rRNA
Rfam family: Bacterial small subunit ribosomal RNA
Source: RNAcentral